Molecule: ribosomal RNA, 834 nt
Filed under: uncultured bacterium
Lineage: Bacteria
Description: bacterial SSU rRNA
Rfam family: Bacterial small subunit ribosomal RNA
Source: RNAcentral
GGCGGACGGGUGAGUAACACGUGGAUAACCUACCUAUAAGACUGGGAUAACUUCGGGAAACCGGAGCUAAUACCCGGAUAAUAUUUUGAACCGCAUGGUUCAAAAGUGAAAGACGGUCUUGCUGUCACUUAUAGAUGGAUCCGCGCUGCAUUAGCUAGUUGGUAAGGUAACGGCUUACCAAGGCAACGAUGCAUAGCCGACCUGAGAGGGUGAUCGGCCACACUGGAACUGAGACACGGUCCAGACUCCUACGGGAGGCAGCAGUAGGGAAUCUUCCGCAAUGGGCGAAAGCCUGACGGAGCAACGCCGCGUGAGUGAUGAAGGUCUUCGGAUCGUAAAACUCUGUUAUUAGGGAAGAACAUAUGUGUAAGUAACUGUGCACAUCUUGACGGUACCUAAUCAGAAAGCCACGGCUAACUACGUGCCAGCAGCCGCGGUAAUACGUAGGUGGCAAGCGUUAUCCGGAAUUAUUGGGCGUAAAGCGCGCGUAGGCGGUUUUUUAAGUCUGAUGUGAAAGCCCACGGCUCAACCGUGGAGGGUCAUUGGAAACUGGAAAACUUGAGUGCAGAAGAGGAAAGUGGAAUUCCAUGUGUAGCGGUGAAAUGCGCAGAGAUAUGGAGGAACACCAGUGGCGAAGGCGACUUUCUGGUCUGUAACUGACGCUGAUGUGCGAAAGCGUGGGGAUCAAACAGGAUUAGAUACCCUGGUAGUCCACGCCGUAAACGAUGAGUGCUAAGUGUUAGGGGGUUUCCGCCCCUUAGUGCUGCAGCUAACGCAUUAAGCACUCCGCCUGGGGAGUACGACCGCAAGGUGAAACUCAAAGGAAUUGACGGC